This 558-nucleotide ribosomal RNA is filed under the name uncultured bacterium. RNAcentral describes it as "bacterial SSU rRNA". It matches the Rfam family "Bacterial small subunit ribosomal RNA", at positions 102 to 694 of the family's 1533-position model. The record is from RNAcentral. RNAcentral also lists the same sequence under 1 other name.
ACGGGUGAGUAACGCGUGGGAACGUGCCCUUCGGUUCGGAAUAACUCAGGGAAACUUGAGCUAAUACCGGAUACGUGCGAGAGCAGAAAGGUUUAUCUGCCGAAGGAUCGGCCCGCGUCUGAUUAGCUAGUUGGUGAGGUUACGGCUCACCAAGGCGACGAUCAGUAGCUGGUCUGAGAGGAUGAUCAGCCACACUGGGACUGAGACACGGCCCAGACUCCUACGGGAGGCAGCAGUGGGGAAUAUUGGACAAUGGGGGCAACCCUGAUCCAGCCAUGCCGCGUGAGUGAUGACGGCCUUAGGGUUGUAAAGCUCUUUUCUCCGGGACGAUAAUGACGGUACCGGAGGAAUAAGCCCCGGCUAACUUCGUGCCAGCAGCCGCGGUAAUACGAAGGGGGCUAGCGUUGCUCGGAAUCACUGGGCGUAAAGGGCGCGUAGGCGGCUGAUUUAGUCGAGGGUGAAAGCCCGUGGCUCAACCACGGAAUGGCCUUCGAUACUGAUUGGCUUGAGACCGGAAGAGGACAGCGGAACUGCGAGUGUAGAGGUGAAAUUCGUAGA